Molecule: non-coding RNA, 75 nt
Organism: Phrynosoma platyrhinos (Desert horned lizard)
Lineage: Eukaryota; Metazoa; Chordata; Lepidosauria; Squamata; Phrynosomatidae
Source: the annotation of a GenBank genome assembly
GCCAGCAUGGUGUAGUGGUCUGGGUGCUGGACUAGGACUCUGAGGGACCAGGGUUUGAAUCCCUGUUUGUUUGCG